RNAcentral lists this ribosomal RNA (468 nucleotides) under uncultured bacterium. RNAcentral describes it as "partial 16S ribosomal RNA". It matches the Rfam family "Bacterial small subunit ribosomal RNA", at positions 28 to 507 of the family's 1533-position model. The record is from RNAcentral.
GACGAACGCUGGCGGCGUGCUUAACACAUGCAAGUCGAACGGAAAGGCCCUGCUUUUGUGGGGUGCUCGAGUGGCGAACGGGUGAGUAACACGUGAGUAACCUGCCCUUGACUUUGGGAUAACUUCAGGAAACUGGGGCUAAUACCGGAUAGGAGCUCCUGAUGCAUGGUGGGGGUUGGAAAGUUUCGGCGGUUGGGGAUGGUCUCGCGGCUUAUCAGCUUGUUGGUGGGGUAGUGGCUUACCAAGGUUUUGACGGGUAGCCGGCCUGAGAGGGUGACCGGCCACAUUGGGACUGAGAUACGGCCCAGACUCCUACGGGAGGCAGCAGUGGGGAAUAUUGCACAAUGGGCGGAAGCCUGAUGCAGCAGCGCCGCGUGCGGGAUGACGGCCUUCGGGUUGUAAACCGCUUUCGCCUGUGACGAAGCGUGAGUGACGGUAAUGGGUAAAGAAGCACCGGCUAACUACGUG